UCUGGUGUUUGGUGAUUCAUAAUAAUGAUACCCAAUCGCCUACAAGCGAUGCGUCGUUAGAAUUUCUGCCCUAUCAGCUUUGGAUGGUAGUGUAGUGGACUACCAUGGCUUUCACGGGUAACGGGGAAUUAGGGUUCGAUUCCGGAGAGGGAGCCUGAGGAACGGCUACCACUUCUAUGGAAGGCAGCAGGUGUGUAAAUUACCCAAUCCCAAAAUGGGGAGGUAGUGACAAGAAAUAACAAUACCAGAAUACAUUUUUGGUAAUUGGAAUGAGUGUAAUUUAAAAUCCUUAACAAGGAACAAUUGGAGGGCAAGUCUGGUGCCAGCAGCCGCGGUAAUACCAGCUCCAAUAGCGUAUAUUAACAUUGCUGCAGUUAAAAAGCUCGUAGUCAAACUUUUGGGCGUGCAGACUCGAAUGUUCCGUAAUCGGAAUUAAUUUCGGUCGUCUGCUGCUCAUAUUUCCAGAAAGGUAUGUCUGUCCUUGAUUGGAUGGUAUUACCGACUCUGGUCUUUUACUGUGAACAAAUGAAAGUGUUCAAAGCAGGCACAUAUAUGCCUGAAUCUUUUAGCAUGGAAUUAUAAGAUAAAACUUUGGUUUUAUUUUGUUGGUCAUAGAACUAAAGUAAUGAUUGAAAGGGAUGGUUGGGGGUGCUCGUAUUCAGGGGCUAGCGGUGAAAUGCGAUGAUUCCCUGAAGACGAACUAAUGCGAAAGCAUUCACCAAGGACAUCUUCUUUGAUCAAGAACGAAAGUUGGGGGAUCGAAGACGAUCAGAUACCGUCGUAGUCUCAACCAUAAACGAUGCCGACUAGCGAUUGGUGAUCGUUGGCUAUAUGACUUCAUCAGCAGCUUCAGAGAAAUCAAAGUCUUUGGGCUCUGGGGGGAGUAUGGUCGCAAGGCUGAAACUUAAAGGCAUUGACGGAAGGGCACCACCAGGAGUGGAGCCUGCGGCUUAAUUUGACCCAACACAGGAAAACUUACCAGGUCCGGACAUAUUAAGGAUUGACAGAUUGAAGCUCUUUCUUGAUUCUAUGGGUAGUGGUGCAUGGCCGUUCUUAGUUGGUGGAGUAAUUUGUCUGGUUAAUUCCGAUAACGAGCGAGACCUCAGCCUACUAAUUGGUAUAUGCAAUCUUUUGAUUGUAUCUCUUAUACAUCUUAGAGGGACUAUCGGUGAGUAGCCGAUGGAAGUUUGAGGCAAUAACAGGUCUGUGAUGCCCUUAGAUGUUCUGGGCCGCACGCGUGCUACAAUGUUGCAAGCAGUGAGUAACAAUUAUAUUUUCUGCAUCGAGAGAUGUGGGUAAUCUGUUAAACUGCAACAAGCUUGGGCUUGAUCAUUGCAAUUUUUGGUCACCAACGAGGAAUUCCUAGUAAGCGCAAGUCACCAACUUGCAUCGAUUACGUCCCUGCCCUUUGUACACACCGCCCGUCGCUUCUACCGAUGAAUGAUCCGGUGAACAGUUUGGACUUGUGGUCUUGACAGCUUUGCUUAAAGACUAACAGGGAAGAUCCGUGAAUUGUAUCAUUUAGAGGAAGAAGAAGUCGUAACAAGGUU
RNAcentral lists this ribosomal RNA (1550 nucleotides) under metagenome. Its description in RNAcentral is "SSU rRNA". It matches the Rfam family "Eukaryotic small subunit ribosomal RNA", at positions 235 to 1801 of the family's 1831-position model. The record is from RNAcentral.